AAUACGACUCCUGGUUUGCCACAAGCCCGGCCUCUGUAGUGAGAGAGCUGUGACUGCGUUUCCAGCUCCUUGAAGGCAGAGAGACUCCUGCCUUUCGGGGCGGGCGGGCUGGAACAAAGACACCAACGGGGCCACCUCGGAAAGUCUUUUUGAGCAGUUUCAGCAAAUAGCAUUUAAGGGAAGGGAAAAAAACUCCAAUGUACUCAAUAAGUGUGUACAGCAAAUUUCUGUUGUGCCUGGGAAGAAGGAAAUUUGAGUUAAAGAGGAGGCCCGCUCCAUAUGCCUUGUCACAAGUACACUCACUGAAACAUUAAUUCACGAAGAGAUUGCAACAAGACCAAAACGAAAGAGGAACAGGGCCUGACAAUGUUCAGAGAAGGAAAACCGAAGAAGUAACCAUCCCCAAGUUAAAAAUGACGUGGGGAUGAAAAAAUAGGUUGCCUGUUGUAUUUGUCAUUGAAAUGCACAAUCUUGUUUACUGUUUAUCUUGAGACUCUGGGAGCUCUCCUGCUGCUUAGGAAAAAAGAGGCAAAGGUUUAGGAAGAAAUGCUAGUCAUAAGAAAGAGAGGCAUUAGAAACCCUAGAGAGAAUGGGAGGUGUAAAUAGUAUGUGGGCAUUUGGCAAUCACCACAAAGAAAUGGGAGACAAAGGCAAGUGUCUGAUGCCAGAAAUCCUAAAAACUUGAGUGGAAAACCCAGACACAAUAAAAAUGUCCAAAAGAAAAAAAAGGCAAAAUCCCAUGAGAUCUUUUUUUUUCUCUGUGAUGUUACCUAAUGGAGAAAAUAAAGGUGGGUUUUGCCACAGUGAUCAUGGUGCCGUAUCCUAAAGGAAGUAGCUUCAUGAUAAGCCUUCAGAGGCUCUCUCCAGGCCAGCCCCAGCCUUAGGACAAAAUGGGACAAUCUUGGGGGACAAUUUCUUUCUCCAAAAAGGGGAUGAGAUUGGGCAGAAGAAACACUUGCAGGGCAGAGUUAUUAUCUCUCUCCCCGAAGAGUUUAAUCAAUUGUGGUCAUUUACAGAUCUCUGUCGUUGUCCUUUUCUCUCUCCCUCUUUCUUUUUCUUUCUUUCUUUCUUUCUUUCUUUCUUUCUUUCUUUCUUUCUUUCUUUUUCUUUCUUCUUUCUUUCUUUUUCUUUCUCUCUCUUUCUUUUUUUCUUUUCUUCUUUCUUUCUGAUGACUUUGCCUUGAAAGGAAUUGCUUAGGAAAGAGGGAAAAGGCAUUUUUAGUCAAAAGCUAAGCUAAGAUCAAAUUAAAUCGGGCAAUGGAAACCUCCUCUGGAGGCUGUGCAGUAGAGUGUGACACCUCCUAAUUUCAUGACUUGGGCAGAUUGCUUCAUUUUCCUACUGUAAAAAAAAGGAAAACGAUAAUAACAGGUAAUGUUUAUUGAACUCCUACAUGGAAUAAGUAUUUUAUACACAGAUCCAUUUCACCCUCUGAAUCUAAUGAGGUAGUAUAAUUAUUAUCUCCGUUUUAUAGAUGAGUGGAGGCUCAGAUCACCCAGCUAGAAAAUGGAGAUAGAAUAUAAUUCUAGAUCAGGGGUUAGCAAUGACCGCCUGAGGGCCAAAUUCUGCUCAGUAUGUGUUUUUGUAAAUAAAGUUUUAUUGGAACCUAGACUUAUUUGCUUAUAUAUGGCCUGUGGCUGUUUUUCAGCUGUAAUAGCAGACACUGUAUGACCCAUGAAACCCAAAAAUUUACUCUUUACAAAAACCUUUACAGAUUUUUGAUCUAGAUUAUCCUAGCCCGUGCUCUUAAUCUCACAUAUGUCCUGCUCCAAAAAUACCUUUUUUUUUUUUUUUUUUGAGGUGAUGUCUCCCUCUGUAGCCCAGGCCGGAGUGCAGUGGUGUGAUCUUAGCUCACUGCAUCUCCACCUCCCAGGUUCAAGCCAUUCUUGUGCCUCAGCCUCCCAAGUAGCUGGGACUACAGGCCUGUACCACCACGCCCGGCUAAUUUUUGUCUUUUUGGUAGAGAUGGGGUUUCUCCAUGUUGGCCAGGCUGGUCUCGAACUCCUGACCUCAAGUGAUCCACCAGCCGCGGCCUCCCACAGUGCUGGGAUUACAGGUGUGAGCCACCACGCCUGGCUAGAAAAAUGCCUCAUUUUAAAAAUGUGAUGCUGACCAGGAAAAACAAAACUAAAAUGUCAAAAGUAAUAAUAGUUAUUAGAUAACUGAAUCUAUUAGGGGUCCAGGAAAAUUAAAAACAAAACAAAGUUUUUAAAAUUUGUGUUCCCCCUUUCUCCUUUUUUUCCGCCAAAACUUGAAAAUGUUUAUAUCCUGAAUUUACAACAAAGGAAAAACCUUUUCUGCCUCAUCAGCUUUAUUGAAACUACAUAUAAAUGCUUAUCUAAAAACCAAAAGUAUAUGCUAGGGAAAUUUCCAAAAUAAUGAAAAAAAUGGUUUUCCAGAAGACAAACAUUAUUUUUCAUAUAUAUUAUUUUAUUUAUUUAUUUAUUCCGAUAAGCAUUUUGCACUUAUUUAUUUAUUUAUUGACACAGGGUCUCACUCUGUUGCCCAGGCUGGAGUGCAGUGGCAAAAUCAUGGCUCACUACAGCCUCGACCUCCUGGGCUUAAGUGAUCCUCCUGCCUCAGCCUCUGGAGUAGCUGGGACUACAGACAUGCACAUCACCCCACCUCACAUAUAUGUUAUUGGCAAAAUUGCAAGUAGAAUACAUUGUUAAAGUAAGAAGCUUCCAUGUUUGAAUGUGAUAUUUACAGAUAGGUAAACUGGGGAUUGGCUCUUGGAAAUUGAUUCGUGUUGCCAUGUGAGCUAAAUUGCUGUUUUCAGUGUUCUAAUAUGGCUUAAUUUUUCAUGGGUUUCCAGGAUCGAUGAAUGUAGCCACAUAACAUAUCCAGGUUUUAAAAAUGUUAGUGAACAAGAUUAAUAAUAGUAUCUUCUGUCUGGGCACACUGGCUCACGCCUGUAAUCCUAGCACUUUGGCGGCUGAGAUGGGAGGAUUUCUUGAGGCCAGGAGUUCGAGACCAGCCUGGUCAAUAGAGUGAGACUCCUUCUCUAUUUAUAAAAAGAAAAUUUAAGGCCGGGCAUGGUGGCUCACACCUAUUAUCCCAGCACUUUGGGAGGCCGGGGCAGGCAGAUCACUUGAGGUCAGGAGUUUGAGACCAGCCUGGCCAACAUGGCAAAACCUGUCUCUACUAAAAUAUAAAAAUUAGCUGGGCAUGGGGUGGCACAUGCCUGUGAUCCCAGCUACUUGGGAGGUUGAGGCGGGAGAAUCGCUUGAACCCAGGUGGUGGAGGUUGCAGUGAGCCAAGAUCGUGCCAUUGCACUCCAGCCUGGGCGACAAGAGUGAGACUCUGUCUCGAAAAUAAAAAAUAAAAUAUAAAAUAUAAAAAUAAAAAUAAAUAAUAUCUUCUGUGUUUCCAAAAUUCCAGGCCCCUUGCUCUGAGUUCUGAAUAUUCUAUGCCAAGCCUUCCUGAUAACUCUAUAAGGCAGAUGUCAUUUUCAUUUUCUAGAUAAGAACGAGGCCCAGGUACACCAGGUGCCUCAUCUAAUACAUGGCUGAAUGACCUCAAAUCCCAUACUUUUUUUUUCCUCUAAGAGGAGGCCUGUGUUCGAUUGUUCGUCUUUUCAUUCAGGCAAAUUCUUACCUACUUCAGAGCAUACCAGGUGCCAGGCACUGCCCUGUGUUCUGGGAAUCCGGGAGUGAACAAGACAGAUAGUAACUCAGUUGUAGUCAAUGAACAGGAUAUUUUCAGGUGAAGAGGAGGAAUGCUAGGAAGGAAACGACACGGGAUAGAAGAGACAGAAAGUGAUCAAAGUUGGGUGCAGCAAUAGGGGCCGCAGAGGCUAAGGAAGAGGCUUGAAUGAUGAACGCAAGCCACGAGGUGAAGAUCUAGACCCCUGAAGAGAGUUCCAGGCAGAGGAAACAGCAAAGCCUCCCUCCCUCCCUCCCUCCCUCCCUUCCCUCCCUCCCUCUCUCCCUCCCUCUCUCUCUCCCUCCCCCUUCCCGCCUGCCUGCCUGCCUUUCUUCCUUCCUUUUUUUGAGACAGGAUCUCUCUCUGUCACCCAGGUGGGAAUACAGUGGCGCGAUCAUGGCUCACUGCAUCCUCAAUCUCCCAGGCUCAGGUGAUCCUCCCACCUCAGCCUCCCAAGUAGCUGGGACUACAGGCACGUGCCACCAUUCCCCACUACUUUUUGUAUUUUUUUGUAGAGAUGAGUUUUUGCCAUGUUGCCCAUGCUGGAGCCACAUUUCUUGAAGUGGGAGACAUCGUGGUAUGUUGAGAAAAUAUGUUGAUUCUUUAUGACUUUUCCCAAUUCAGGAGUCACUUAACCCUUGUCCAAGCUUGAGGGUCUUAGGUGCUGCUUUCUUUUUUUAUUUUUAAACUUUCUAUUAUUGUUAUUUUUGAGACAGUCUUGCUCUGUCGCCCAGGCUGGAGUGCAGUGGCGCGAUCUCAGCUCACGGCAAACUCUACCUCCCGGGUUCAAGUGAUUCUCAGCUUCCCUGAGUACCUGGGACUACAGGCAUGCGUUAGGUGCUGCUUUCUAAGUGCCAAGGUUACCUGAGGGUUUGUCCUCAGGUCUAUGAAAUGUGGCUCUGAUUUCCUAACAUCUUUCUUUCUCUUUCCCUUUGUCAGACAGGGGAGCAAGGUGUUCCUCAUUCAUUUGUGAUUGGAAACAGUAAGUUACCAGUCACUGAGUACAUGCUGUGUAUUGUGCUAACUGCUUAGUUGUAUUACCUUAUUUAAUCUGCAAACAACCCAAUGGAAUAUUGUGGAAUAGUAGUCUUAAAACAGAAGCAUGCCCCCUCUAUCUUCCUUUCUCCGCCAUCGUGGUGUGCGCUUGACUCUGCUUCUUGCCAUGUCUUCUCACAAGACUUUCAGGAUUAAGCGAUUCCUGCCAAGAAACAAAAGCAGGCUGGGCGCAGUGGCUCACGCCUGUAAUCCCAACACUUUGGGAGACUGAGGUGGGUGGAUCAUGGGGUCAGGAGUUCAAGACCAGCCUGGCCAAUAUGGUGAAACCCUGUCUCUACUAAAAAUACAAAAAUUAGCUGGGCAUGGUGGUGCAUGCCUGUAAUCCCAGCUACUUGGAGGCUAAGGCAGGAUAGUUGCUUGAACCGGGACCCGGGAGGUGGAGGUUGCAGUGAGUCGAGAUUGCGCCACUGCACUCCAGCCUGGGCUACAGAGCAAGACUCCGUCUCAAAAAAAAAAAAAAGGAACAAAAGCGAAAUCGUUCCAAUCCCCAGUGGAUUCAGAUGAAAACUGGUAAUAAAAUCAGGUACAGGUCAGGCAUGGUGGCUCACGUCUGUAAUCUGAGGUCAGGAGUUCAAGACCAGCCUGGCCAACAUGGUGAACCCUCAUCUCUACUAAAAAUACAAAAAAAUGGCCAGGCAUGAUGGCUCACACCUGUAAUCCCAGCACUUUGGGAGACCAAGUCGGGUGGAUCACAAGGUCAAGAGAUUGAGACCAUCCUGGCCAACAUGGUGAAACCCCAUCUCUACUAAAAAUACAAAAAUUAGCCGGGUGUGGUGGCACGUGCCUGUAAUCUCAGCUACUCAGGAGGCUGAGGCAGGAGAAUAGCUUGAACCCGGGAGGCGGAGGUUGUGGUAAGCCGGGAUUACGCCACUGCACUCCAGCCUGGCAACAGAGUGAGACUCCAUCUCAAAAACAAACAAACAAACAAACAAACAAACAAAAAAAUUAGCCAGGUAUGGUGGCAUGCUCCUGUAAUCCCAGCUACUCGGGAGGCUGAGGCAGGAGAAUCACUUGAACCCAGAGGGUGGAUGUUGCAGUGAGCCGAGAUCGCGCCAUUGCACUCUGGCCUGGGCUACAAGAGUGAGACUCUGCUUCAAAAAAAAAAAAAUCAGGUACAACUCUGAAAGGUGACAUUGGAGAAGAACCUUAUAGACAUUGGGUCUAUAAGGAAUUGCACACGAGAUAGCAUAUAUUUAUGCUGUAUCAAGGUCAUGAUGAUCUUACCAUAUCAAGCUGAAAAUGUCACCACUAUUUGAACCAUCGGACAUGUUUUAUUGGGAAUGUAUUUUUUCUGUUUGUAUGCUCUGAGCUAGCAGGCUGGGUUCAGUAAUAAAUAUGUGAGAAAUUUUGUUUGAAAAAAACAAAAAACAGGAGCAUGCUGUACUGAUUUAAGAGGAUUAAUUUCUAGAAUCUACAUGUUCAUGCUUAUAUUUACUUAUUCCGAUUCCAUGUGGGUCUGGGUGGGACACGAGGAUCUGCAUUUUUAACUAGCUUUUGGGGGAUGCCAAUGCUUCUGUUUUAUAGAACACACUUUGAUUAGCAUCAUUCUAUACCAGAAGUUGACAAACUUUCUCUAUAAAGGGCCAAAUAGUUAAUAUUUUCAGUUUUGUAGGCCCUGAAAUCUUUGUUACAAGUACUCAAUUCUGCUAUUGCAGCAGGCAGAAACAUGUAAAUGGAUGGAUGUGGCUGUGUUCUAAUAAAACUUUAUGUAUUUUUUAUUUUUUGUUGAG
Molecule: long non-coding RNA, 6428 nt
Filed under: Homo sapiens (human)
Lineage: Eukaryota; Metazoa; Chordata; Mammalia; Primates; Hominidae
Description: non-protein coding lnc-TSHZ2-11:2
Source: RNAcentral